UCCAGCGGAGCUCAGCCCACCGCCUGGCAGUGUCCCCGAGCCGGCCAAGCCUCCGCCAGACGCCCCAGGAAUGCACUCGCGCUAGGAUUUGGGAGUUGCGCUUGAUUGAGCCGGAGGCGGGCUGGAACUUGUUCUCAUAGAUGGGAAGGACGGCGAGAAGCUUUCGCGGUGCCACAGCCCCACUAGCUUUGGGUUGUCAGCGCCAGUUAGGCUGUUUUAUGCUUUGCGAGCCCGUGACCUAUUUGCGGUGGAACAAAAACUAAAAAUCAAUGGAAACUCCCUCCGUACUGAUUCCUCUGCCUGUUCAUCUGGGUGGCUGCUGAGACUGAGCCUAUCAAGAGUGCUGAGGCAAUACCAAGAGACACUUUCAGAAAACAGAACCAAAUUUGCAGGUUCUCAACAUGAUGUUGGAGCCUAUAACUUAGUCUGCAAAUUCCGAACAGGGCUAAAUAUGCUCCGAUUCGGAAUGAUUUUUUUGGGAGUAGUUAGGCUGGGGAUUUCUGACUUAAAGAUGAAGGAAGACUCUAACGAGCGGGUAAAACAAGGCCAAUCUAGACAAAAGGAAGGCAAAUGUAUGAACACAGCAGCUAAGCUCAACAAGACAGCACUGUGGAAAAAAAAAUCCCUUUCUUAGACUAGUGCACUUUAAAAUUAAUACUUUAUCAUGUAAAAAGUUCAAAUUAAAGUGCCAAAAGAGCCAUGAGCCACACGUAAACACACACACACACACACACACACACACAGAGCUAAGCAAAUAGAUGGGAGGAAAAUAUAUGAAUUCCAAGUCUAAUUUAAACUGUGCUCAUAACUGUUGGGGCAAGGAGGCCAGGAUCUCCUGGUUGGCCCAGAUCUUCACUAUGUACAUCAAACUGCUGGCUGCUGGCUCCCAGAGUCCUCUUGUCUCCACCUCAUAUCCUGCAGCACCUGGGAUGCUACCAUGCUUGCUUGGGUUCCGAACAGUCUUUCCUCUCAUCUUGAAACAGUCAUCACUCUAAGGAAGGAAAAGACAAGAAAAUGAUGUACAUUCUGCUUAGGGCAGAAAUGCACAUGAUGAGCCUCCUCUCCCUGGAUAGAGAGAAGAUGCUUCUUAAACUGGCGCUGUGGCCCUUGACUUUCCUGACUCAGAGGAACACCUCCCUAGCCACAUCUAAGGGCCUGCAAGCAAUCUUCCUUCAUCAAGGCAGGUGCUUAGGGAGGAGGAGGGAAUCAAAACCCCCGUUACAGUAAGGGAACUGCUGCUGUAAGUGAACAAGAAGAGCAAGCAGCGUUCCUUGCCACAUGUUGACGUGCCUCAGUAGGAGAAAACAGAAAAAAGAAAAAGGAAGAUUGGAAUUGGCUUUUCUGCGUUCUGACUCUCCAAAAGUAGUUUCGGAUUAGAGAGGAACACCACGUGCUUUGAACUCAGUGUGACACAACUGUGGACGUCACUGUGACUGCCGUUAUACUCUCAGUGGCAGAGGCCAAUGGUGUGAGUGAGAAUCUUAACAGUAAGGUCAAAACUAUGGAAGAGGAGGACGAGACCUGGAGUACUUGUAUGAUCUCUUUGUUCCCAAGUCUUCCCCAGAAUAAUCCCUGAAAUAGACAUACCUGGCUUCUAACUGCUAUUCUGCCUCUGACUGAUGUCGUAACCUGUUAAAACUUCAGUCUUCUUUACUCAGUAGCAUCUCCUAUAAAGUUCUUAUUUUGAUCAAAGUGAUUACCACAAAAUAUGAGCAUAUUUUAUUCUUGAGAUAAAAUAUAAAUGAAUAAAUAUUAGCUUUUAAAAUGCCAUUGUACUUCAACAAAUAAAUAUU
Long non-coding RNA from Meriones unguiculatus (Mongolian gerbil), 1793 nucleotides. RefSeq lists it as uncharacterized. The record is from RefSeq and is a predicted model, not a curated record. NCBI's taxonomy places the organism in Eukaryota, Metazoa, Chordata, Mammalia, Rodentia, Muridae. The transcript is spliced from 3 exons.